AUUGAACGCUGGCGGCAGGCCUAACACAUGCAAGUCGAGCGGAUGAAGGGAGCUUGCUCCUGGAUUCAGCGGCGGACGGGUGAGUAAUGCCUAGGAAUCUGCCUGGUCGUGGGGGAUAACGUCCGGAAACGGGCGCUAAUACCGCAUACGUCCUGAGGUAGAAAGGGGGGGAUCUUCGGACCUCACGCUAUCAGAUGAGCCUAGGUCGGAUUAGCUAGUUGGUGGGGUAAAGGCCUACCAAGGCGACGAUCCGUAACUGGUCUGAGAGGAUGAUCAAUCACACUGGAACUGAGACACGGUCCAGACUCCUACGGGAGGCAGCAGUGGGGAAUAUUGGACAAUGGGCGAAAGCCUGAUCCAGCCAUGCCGCGUGUGUGAAGAAGGUCUUCGGAUUGUAAAGCACUUUAAGUUGGGAGGAAGGGCAGUAAGUUAAUACCUUGCUGUUUUGACGUUACCAACAGAAUAAGCACCGGCUAACUUCGUG
RNAcentral lists this ribosomal RNA (484 nucleotides) under uncultured bacterium. RNAcentral's name for it is "partial 16S ribosomal RNA". It matches the Rfam family "Bacterial small subunit ribosomal RNA", at positions 30 to 507 of the family's 1533-position model. The record is from RNAcentral.